GACGAACGCUGGCGGCGUGCCUAAUACAUGCAAGUCGAGCGGACGGAUGGGAGCUUGCUCCCAGACCGUCAGCGGCGGACGAGUGAGUAACACGUGGGCAACCUGCCUGUAAGACUGGGAUAACUCCGGGAAACCGGGGCUAAUACCGGAUAACUCUUUCCCUCACAUGAGGGAAAGCUGAAAGAUGGCAUCUCGCUAUCACUUACAGAUGGGCCCGCGGCGCAUUAGCUAGUUGGUGAGGUAACGGCUCACCAAGGCGACGAUGCGUAGCCGACCUGAGAGGGUGAUCGGCCACACUGGGACUGAGACACGGCCCAGACUCCUACGGGAGUCAGCAGUAGGGAAUCUUCCGCAAUGGACGAAAGUCUGACGGAGCAACGCCGCGUGAGUGAUGAAGGUUUUCGGAUCGUAAAACUCUGUUGUCAGGGAAGAACAAGUACCGGAGUAACUGCCGGUACCUUGACGGUACCUGACCAGAAAGCCACGGCUAACUACGUG
RNAcentral lists this ribosomal RNA (498 nucleotides) under uncultured bacterium. RNAcentral's name for it is "partial 16S ribosomal RNA". It matches the Rfam family "Bacterial small subunit ribosomal RNA", at positions 28 to 507 of the family's 1533-position model. The record is from RNAcentral.